UGCUGAGAUUACAGGCAUGAGCCACCGCGCCCAGCCAUGGAGCUUACAUUCUAACAAUGGAGACAGAUAUUAAACAAAAUCGACAACAUACUACAAGAUGACAGCCACCUACAAGCCAGGAAGAGGCCUCAGAAUUAAACCCACUUUACCAGCACCUUAAUCUUGGACAUCCCAACCUCCCAGCUGACUAUGACAGGUGUCACUGUUAAAAGAAACAUGCUGACGUACUUAGAGGCCGCUUAAGUGCCCUUAUAUGAGGGCAUGGCAGUUGGCUUUCCAGAUUAAAAGAACCCAGGAACAGAGCAAGGAGGAAGACACAAGGCCUUUUACGACCUAGUCUUGGAAGUUGCACACCUUCGCUUCUGACACGUUCUAGUAUCAGUGAAUCACUAAGGCCACCCCACACUCAGGAGGAAGGGAGGUAAGCUGUGUCCCAAAUUGGUGAGUUCUUGGUCUGACUUCAAGAAUGAAGCCACAGACCCUCGGGGUGAGUGUUACACUUCUUAAAGGCAACGUAUCCGGAGUUUGUUCCUUCUCAUGUUCAGAUGUGUUCAGAGUUUUUCCCUUCUGGUGGGUUCGUG
Long non-coding RNA from Homo sapiens (human), 581 nucleotides. RefSeq lists it as uncharacterized. NCBI's taxonomy places the organism in Eukaryota, Metazoa, Chordata, Mammalia, Primates, Hominidae. The transcript has 3 exons. The record is from RefSeq and is a predicted model, not a curated record.